RNAcentral lists this transfer RNA (68 nucleotides) under Dichoptera sp. WW-2021a. RNAcentral describes it as "tRNA-Val". Lineage: Eukaryota; Metazoa; Arthropoda; Insecta; Hemiptera; Fulgoridae. The record is from RNAcentral.
UAGAAUGCAGAGUUUUUUUUAUCUUACUUACAAUAAGGUUUUGUCUGGUUAAGUUCAGUCAGUUCUGA